CACAAAUACGGAAAUUAUCAAUUUUUUCGUGGUUCUAAAACUAUGAAGGAAAACAAUUUUGAAUUACAAAUUUACAUCGGUAAAGAAUUACAACUGAAACUUCAAAUAAUUAAGAAAUUCCCAAUGUAUUAAUCAGCAAAUUUUAAGAAAAAUCAAAAUUUUCUAUGAUCUUGUUCUCCAGUGUCCAUCAAUUUGGAGAGAUGCAUGCUGGUAGUCCAUCUUCGAGUUCUGUAGCCAAGCGAACCAGACGACAGUGGGAAAUAUUUUAUAGAAAUUGGCACAAUGAGGUGAAGAAGAAGAAGAAGAAACUGGCCGGAGAAAGUUCUGGUAAUGGCGUUAGAGAUAAGGGUGUGAUCCUUGGUGUGGG
Molecule: long non-coding RNA, 367 nt
Filed under: Olea europaea subsp. europaea
Lineage: Eukaryota; Viridiplantae; Streptophyta; Magnoliopsida; Lamiales; Oleaceae
Source: RNAcentral